RNA transcript from Acanthochromis polyacanthus (spiny chromis), 1495 nucleotides. It is a transcript of the gene named dehydrogenase/reductase SDR family member 11-like, with no coding region annotated. Lineage: Eukaryota; Metazoa; Chordata; Actinopteri; Pomacentridae. The record is from RefSeq and is a predicted model, not a curated record. The transcript has 9 exons.
CAGUGUGCUGCAUUCAGGGCUCCGUGGCUGUCAGACUAUCCGUCCUCUCUUCUUCCUCUGUAUCAGUAGCAGCUUCCUGGUGUAUCGCUGUGAUGGACCGCUGGAAGAGCAGAGUGGCUCUGGUGACUGGAGCCUCGGUGGGGAUCGGGGCGGCCGUAGCCAAAGAGCUGGUCCGCUGUGGGAUGACAGUGGUGGGCUGUGCCAGGAACUUGGACAAAAUCCAGGAACUGGCAGCAGAGUGUACAAAAGCAGGCUACAGUGGUGUUUUGGUGCCGAUCAAGUGUGAUUUGACCAAAGAGGAGGACAUCCUGUCCAUGUUUGCAACCAUCAAAGCGCAGCACAAAGGUGUAGAUGUUUGCAUCAACAACGCUGGAUUGUCUCUUCAAGGUUCACUAUUAAGUGGCACAACGAGCGGCUGGAGAAACAUACUGGAUGUGAACGUUCUUGCCUUGUCCAUCUGCACACGUGAAGCGUAUCAGUCGAUGAAGGAAAGAAAUGUCGAUGACGGACACAUCAUCAACAUAAACAGUGUGUUGGGACAUUUGGUAGGUCCAGUUAAUGAUGUUCAUUUUUACGCUGCCACCAAGUUUGCAGUGACCGCCCUGACUGAAGGCCUGAGGCAGGAGCUGCGUGAGGCCAAGAGCCACAUCCGGGCCACAAGUAUUUCUCCUGGAGUUGUGGACACUGAAUUUGGUUAUCGAAUGUACAGCGACGAUCCAAGUAAAGCUGAAGCUCUGUACAGUCGACAUAAGAAUCUAUCUGGACUGAAUGUUGCUCAGGCUGUUUUGUAUGUCCUCGGUGCUCCUCCACAUGUGCAGAUUGGAGAAAUCUUGCUCCGUCCUGUGGAGCAGCAGCUUUAAUGAUGCCACCAGUGACGUGACACCUGAUGAAUUCUGAAUGAGCCAUGCUUCCUCGUGGAAGAUCUCCUCGGAGAUGACUCCAUAGCAGGGUCAGUGAGGUAGCUGGGUGCUUCAGUGCUGCUAACUGGUAACAAGCUAAAGGUUAGCAGAGUCCAGCUUCCUGCCUUAGAGCCUGGCCUUGCAGAAAGAAGGACAAAGAGCUGGAUGAUAUGGAGUUGGAUGCUUUUAAUAAGUGGCACUGACUUUGAGUGAAAACUGCAGAAAUUCAGAUCAAACCUUGAUUUUGUCCACGUUCCUGGCACAGCCCACCACCUUCAUCCCACAGCGGACCAGCUCUUUGGCUACGACCGCCCCGAUCCCCACCGAGGCUCCGGUCACCAGAGCCACUCUGCCCUUCCAGCGCUCCAUCACAGCGAUACACCGAGAACCUGCUCCAGACUGAUACUGAGGAAGAACUGAAGACGGAGUGUCUGACAGCCAAGGAGCCCUGAAUGCAGCACACUGGAGACUGUGCGUCCCUGCCAAGAUUAAACACUCUCUACGCUGCUUUCAGGAUCCAGAUGGACUGUAGGAAAUCCGAUAAAUCAGCUCUGUCCCAAGAAGACUGUGAAAUAAAAUCCAGCUACCAAACUUUC